Long non-coding RNA from Venturia canescens, 1870 nucleotides. RefSeq lists it as uncharacterized. Lineage: Eukaryota; Metazoa; Arthropoda; Insecta; Hymenoptera; Ichneumonidae. The transcript is spliced from 4 exons. The record is from RefSeq and is a predicted model, not a curated record.
GUUUGAACAGAAGUGGAGCUUAUUAUUUCCAGUUUCAACGCUCGUUUUCUGGAUGAUAAGUGGUGCGUGAAAACCCGAAGAUUUCGAUUCCUCGCUUGGUAGAUUUUGAGAACAAAAUGUGGUACGAAAUUGAACGGAAAUAGUUCGUGUAUAGCAGAGUUUGAUAAUGCAGAAAAAAAUCUGAAAUAGAUGGCCAUUGAAAAAAUUGAAUUGAACUUUGAAAAAAGUUGUCACCAUUAUUCUGUGCUGAAUGAUAAUUAUCCAUUUGGUUUAAAAAGUGAGGACUGCUAUUGAAUUUGUUUACAAACUGUACAGUUCCGAAAGUGAAUGAGCCAAAAAUGUAGGCAGCCUUUGUGAUACAUAUUCAUGCAUGUAUCUUUUGAAGCGUGAGAUGAAGGAUACCGUAUACGUAUCAUUUUUUCAUGAAUUUUCCGGAUAGCUCAGAGCUCGGACCAGCGCCAUCUUUGAUCCUGGCCAAAGGAAAUUACACGAAGCAUACACGAAGCCUCGGCUAUCUGCAUACACAUAUUCCCUAUAUAAAUUCGCGUCCCUGUGAAGAAAAUCUCUUCAUACUAUCUUCGGGUGAAAAAAGGAUGGCACCCGUCAAAGGACACCCAAUGGCGAAAGACGAACUCGCAGAGCUGAGAAUCCUCACAAACGUGUCGCGCGAAGUGCGUAGCGUGGCACGAUUCACAGAGCUAGAAUGAGAGCGUGGAAACGUCCUUGAAGCAGUGCUAUGAAAAGAAGCGUGCGCAGAACGGGUUGGAGACUAUUUGGUGAGCCAAUCAGAGCUCGAGCGCGGAAGACAAAGGAUAAGCGGACUAUAAAAACGCGACGCACAGCAGCACGGAUCGUCAAUCCUUUGCGGUUCUUAGGCUGACUUCGUUGAAGCGUUCAGAUUAAGAAGGUCUCAGAAGAAUCUUUUCCCGAUUUUGGUGGUCCGUAAAAUCUGUUUUUUUUUUCUCAUUCCUUGAUGCUUGGAGUAUUGAAGCCGUUCGGCGACGUUCCAAUCCCAUAGUAAUCCGGAGUCAAUCCCAUUUUUUGAUUUUUUUUCUCUGCUUGUUGGUGCUUGAAGCAUCGAAGCACCAAUUCAGCAGCGUUCCAAUCCGAUAGUCCAGGGUCAAAAAAUUUUUUUUUUUCGUCGUAGAUUCCAGAAGUAUCGAAAUAGUUGGGUGAAAUUCAGCUUCUCUAGUCAAGCACUCUAACAUCCCAUCUCGCGAAGUAUCGUUUCAUUCGACAACGCACAUUUUUCAAAAUCAAUAAUUAAACAAGAAUUAAAACAAAAAUCGAUUGACCAAGGCCCGAGUUAUUCUCUUUAUCCCAAUUAUGCUCAGCGCUCAAAUUCAACAAUCCAGAAAACUACUGUGAUAAUUUAGGAUUGUAUUGCAUCGGUUUAUAAAUAAACAAAGAUCAUUAUUGUAGAGAAUCAGUCUAUUUUCGAAUUUUUAAGACCUCUGAAUAAAACAUUUUUUAUCCACGAAAACUUCAGCUGAAUCAAAAUCAUUUUCGUAGCCAACUUUGGAUGUGACUCAAAUUAUUUUAUCAUGGACUACAUCAAUAACUGUUUAAUGAAUCGAAGAACGUGAUAUCAUUUACUUUAUCAAGCUUUCUUUCUCUAUCAAUAAUGAGAUAACAAUGAAUAUAAUAAAAUCAUAACGCAAAAAAAAACAGCGUUACCCGGUGGGGGGACCAAAAGAUACGAUCAUAUUCAACUAAAUCAAUCAACCGGUUUUUCAGACAGUAACAGCAUUUUUCCGGUUUCUUGCCUGUCCCCCAUUGCUCGUUAAAAAUAAAAAAUAAACCAUACCAAUCUCAGAAGAAUUCUCAGUUUUCAUUAAUCCUUUUAAAAACGAAUACGCAAAAUAACCGA